This 273-nucleotide long non-coding RNA is filed under the name Mytilus galloprovincialis (Mediterranean mussel). Lineage: Eukaryota; Metazoa; Mollusca; Bivalvia; Mytilida; Mytilidae. The record is from RNAcentral.
GUUAUAUGUUUUUCAACCAAUACAUUGAUUAUUCAACUAUCAAACCCGUUAUAAAACAGAUUCUUCAAGAUCAGUUUCUUCAAAAGUGGUCCAGUAAUAUUGAUAACUCGUCUCGUGGCGAAUAUUAUAAGUUAUUUAAAUCUCAGUUUGGUCUGGAAAAUUAUCUAUUACGUCUUCCAGAGGAUAAAAGAAUCUGGAUUUCAAAACUGAGAACAUGUAACCUAAAAAUUCCUAUGGAAACUGGCAGAUGGUACAACAUCGCUAGAACAGAUC